CUGCUAUCGGAUUGAUACUAAGCCAUGCGAGUCUUUGUAGUAAUACAAGGCAGACGGCUCAGUAACACGUAGUCAACCUACCCUAUGGACAAGAAUAAUCUCGGGAAACUGGGCAUAAUUCUUGAUAGAUCAUAAUGCCUGGAAUGGUUUAUGGUUAAAAUGAUUCGUCGCCAUAGGAUGGGACUGCGGCCUAUCAGCUUGUUGGUGAGGUAAUGGCCCACCAAGGCGAUUACAGGUACGGGCUCUGAGAGGAGAAGCCCGGAGAUGGGUACUGAGACACGGACCCAGGCCCUAUGGGGCGCAGCAGGCGAGAAAACUUUGCAAUGUGCGAAAGCACGACAAGGUUAAUCCGAGUGAUUUCUGCUAAAGAAAUCUUUUGCCAGUCAUAAAACCACUGGUGAAUAAGGGGUGGGCAAGUUCUGGUGUCAGCCGCCGCGGUAAAACCAGCACCUCAAGUGGUCAGGAUGAUUAUUGGGCCUAAAGCAUCCGUAGCCGGCUUUGUAAGUUUUCGGUUAAAUCCAUGUGCUCAACGCAUGGGCUGCCGAAAAUACUGCAUGGCUAGGGAGUGGGAGAGGUAGACGGUACUCGGGAGGAAGUGGUAAAAUGCUUUGAUCUCUCGAUGACCACCUGUGGCGAAGGCGGUCUACCAGAACACGUCCGACGGUGAGGGAUGAAAGCUGGGGGAGCAAACCGGAUUAGAUACCCGGGUAGUCCCAGCCGUAAACUAUGCAAACUCAGUGAUGCAUUGGCUUGUGGCCAAUGCAGUGUUGCAGGGAAGCCGUUAAGUUUGCCGCCUGGGAAGUACGUACGCAAGUAUGAAACUUAAAGGAAUUG
Molecule: ribosomal RNA, 834 nt
Filed under: uncultured marine group I thaumarchaeote
Lineage: Archaea; Thermoproteati; Nitrososphaerota
Description: SSU rRNA
Rfam family: Archaeal small subunit ribosomal RNA
Source: RNAcentral